CCCUUAGAUGUUCUGGGCCGCACGCACGCUACACUGACGAUGGCAACGAGUUUUUCCUUCGCCGAAAGGUGUGGGUAAUCUUUUGAAACAUCGUCGUGCUGGGGAUAGAUCAUUGCAAUUUUUGAUCUUGAACGAGGAAUUCCUAGUAAGCGCGAGUCAUCAGCUCGCGUUGAUUACGUCCCUGCCCUUUGUACACACCGCCCGUCGCUACUACCGAUUGAAUGGUUUAGUGAGGACUCCUGAUUGGCGCCGCCGCCCCGGCAACGGAGCAGCGGACUGCCGAAAAGUUGUUCAAACUUGAUCAUUUAGAGGAAGUAAAAGUCGUAACA
RNAcentral lists this ribosomal RNA (329 nucleotides) under uncultured eukaryote. RNAcentral describes it as "partial 18S ribosomal RNA". It matches the Rfam family "Eukaryotic small subunit ribosomal RNA", at positions 1470 to 1796 of the family's 1831-position model. The record is from RNAcentral.